This is a long non-coding RNA of Morus notabilis, 790 nucleotides long. RefSeq lists it as uncharacterized. The record is from RefSeq and is a predicted model, not a curated record. Lineage: Eukaryota; Viridiplantae; Streptophyta; Magnoliopsida; Rosales; Moraceae. The transcript is spliced from 3 exons.
UCUGUCAUUGGAACACUAUCUGAGGAAGUUCUUGGUCUAGCUGCCGGUGUUGAAACUUCAACAGAAGUGUGGACGACUUUGAUGUAGCAUUGAUGGAUUUGAAGUUCUUCAGAGAGGAAGAACUUCAAAUCCAUCAAUGACUACAUCAGGGGAUUCAAACAAAUUUGCGAUGAACUCAAUGCAAUCGGCUCGCCAAUGAAGGAGCAACAAAAGGCAUUUGGGUUACUCAAAGGUCUAGUUAAAGAAUAUGAAUCUUUUGAUACUACUAUGAUGAAGCCCCUAUGCCAUCUUAUAAUGACACUGCACAACUAUUGCAAAGCUAUGAAAACAUGAGAACUUUACAUAAUACUGUUGAAACUACUGAUGAUCAUGCUGCAUUCCUUGCUCAAAAUAAGAUCAAUAGCAAAUAGUACGAAAAUAAUAGACAGGGGCAGAACUACUUCAAUUCAAGAGUGAAGGGCUUCACACAAGCUGUACAAAGACCACCGGAGUCGCCACAAGGAAACCAAGACGUUCUGCUAUAGACUGUUGGCAUCGAUUCAACCAAGGUUUUCAACCAGGUGAUGCAGCCCAAGCCCUCGCAGCUUUGAAGUUUACAGACAACCAGAAUGAAGCAUGGUUUCCGGACACUGGUGCCACUCAACAUAUGACCAGAUGAAGAGCAGGGAGAUAGGGAAAAUAAUAACAAGAGGAACUAGGAAUGGAGGCCUCUACGCUCUUCAAACUGAUCAAAAGAAGGCAUUCUAUUCCAACAGAUUUCAAGCUGCAAGCACUACUACUUGGCACCAAA